This 288-nucleotide ribosomal RNA is filed under the name Phyllodytes luteolus (yellow heart-tongued frog). RNAcentral describes it as "partial 16S ribosomal RNA". The stretch from base 177 to 249 matches the Rfam family "tRNA". Lineage: Eukaryota; Metazoa; Chordata; Amphibia; Anura; Hylidae. The record is from RNAcentral.
ACGUGAUCUGAGUUCAGACCGGAGCAAUCCAGGUCAGUUUCUAUCUAUAAUAGGCGCUCUCUCUAGUACGAAAGGACCGAAAAAGCACGGCCAAUACUUUAUGCAAGCCGCAAUUACUAAAACAUGAUUAAAUCUCAAUAAACAUAUAACCCAUUAGCAAACUUUAGAAAAAAGUCGUUAGCGUAGCAAAGCCCGGUAUUGCAAAAGAUCUAAGCCCUUUAUACAGAGAUUCAAUUUCUCUCGCUAAUUUUGAGUCCAACUUUAAUUAUACAUUCAAUAUGCUUUAUU